RNAcentral lists this non-coding RNA (109 nucleotides) under Mycobacterium sp. Its description in RNAcentral is "Glycine sequence". It matches the Rfam family "Glycine riboswitch aptamer". From Rfam's summary of the family: This family represents the bacterial glycine riboswitch. The record is from RNAcentral. Lineage: Bacteria; Bacillati; Actinomycetota; Actinomycetes; Mycobacteriales; Mycobacteriaceae.
CCCGAUGCCUCUGGAAAGUGGCGGCCCCCGGGCCGCCCGCCGAUGGGGAAAGGCGUUGCCCGCCGAAUCUCUCAGGCGCCCGGUCCCGGGUGAGGACAGAGGGAGAGGG